CAGCCGCCGCGGUAAUACGUAGGGGGCGAGCGUUACCCGGAUUCACUGGGCGUAAAGGGGGUGUAGGCGGCUCGGUAAGUCGGGUGUGAAAUCCCACGGCUCAACCGUGGAAUUGCGCCCGAAACUGCCGAGCUUGGGGCCGGUAGAGGGAGACGGAACUGCCGGUGUAGGGGUGAAAUCCGUAGAUAUCGGCAGGAACGCCGGUGGGGAAGCCGGUCUCCUGGGCCGCGCCCGACGCGGAGGCCCGAAAGCUAGGGGAGCAAACCGGAUUAGAUACCCGGGUAGUCCUAGCCGUAAACGAUGCCCACUAGGUGUGGGGGAGUAUUUCCUCCGUGCUGUAGCUAACGCGUUAAGUGGGCCGCCUGGGGAGUACGCCCGCAAGGGUGAAACUUAAAGGAAUUGGCGGG
Molecule: ribosomal RNA, 407 nt
Filed under: uncultured microorganism
Description: bacterial SSU rRNA
Rfam family: Bacterial small subunit ribosomal RNA
Source: RNAcentral